AAGCAUAUCAAUAAGCGGAGGAAAAGAAACCAACAGGGAUUGCCCCAGUAACGGCGAGUGAAGCGGCAAGAGCUCAAAUUUGAAAGCUGGCUCCUUCGGGGUCCGCAUUGUAAUUUGCAGAGGAUGCUUCGGGAGCGGUCCCCAUCUAAGUUCCCUGGAACGGGACGUCAUAGAGGGUGAAAAUCCCGUAUGGGAUGGGGUGUCCGCGCCCGUGUGAAGCUCCUUCGACGAGUCGAGUUGUUUGGGAAUGCAGCUCUAAAUGGGUGGUAAAUUUCAUCUAAAGCUAAAUAUUGGCCGGAGACCGAUAGCGCACAAGUAGAGUGAUCGAAAGAUGAAAAGCACUUUGAAAAGAGAGUUAAAAAGCACGUGAAAUUGUUGAAAGGGAAGCGCUUGCGACCAGACUCGCUCGCGGGGUUCAGCCGGCAUUCGUGCCGGUGUACUUCCCCGCGGGCGGGCCAACGUCGGUUUGGGCGGUCGGUCAAAGGCCCUCGGAAGGUAACGCCCCCAGGGGCGUCUUAUAGCCGAGGGUGCAAUGCGACCUGCCUAGACCGAGGAACGCGCUUCGGCUCGGACGUUGGCAUAAUGGUCGUAAGCGACCCGUCU
This 603-nucleotide ribosomal RNA is filed under the name Penicillium sp. RNAcentral describes it as "eukaryotic LSU rRNA". It matches the Rfam family "Eukaryotic large subunit ribosomal RNA", at positions 36 to 654 of the family's 3401-position model. The record is from RNAcentral. Lineage: Eukaryota; Fungi; Ascomycota; Eurotiomycetes; Eurotiales; Aspergillaceae.